Molecule: ribosomal RNA, 388 nt
Filed under: uncultured bacterium
Lineage: Bacteria
Description: bacterial SSU rRNA
Rfam family: Bacterial small subunit ribosomal RNA
Source: RNAcentral
AUUGAACGCUGGCGGAAUGCUUUACACAUGCAAGUCAAGCGGCAGCGCGGGGGCGAACCCUGGCGGCGAGCGGCGAACGGGUGAGUAACAUAUCGGAACGUACCCAGUCGUGGGGGAUAACUAUCCGAAAGGAUAGCUAAUACCGCAUACGUCCUGAGGGAGAAAGCGGGGGAUCGCAAGACCUCGCGCGAUUGGAGCGGCCGAUAUCGGAUUAGCUAGUUGGUGGGGGUAAAGGCUCACCAAGGCGACGAUCCGUAGCGGGUCUGAGAGGACGACCCGCCACACUGGAACUGAGACACGGUCCAGACUCCUACGGGAGGCAGCAGUGGGGAAUUUUGGACAAUGGGCGCAAGCCUGAUCCAGCCAUGCCGCGUGAGUGAAGAAGGCC